GUGAAUCAUCAAAUCUUUGAACGCAAAUUGCACUCUCUUCGGAGAGUAUGCCUGUUUGAGGGUCAGUAUUAAUAAAAAUCGGUGUGUUGCUUCUUUGUGACGCUCCGGAGUUUGGGUCAUCUUAAUAUCCUUUAGGUUUUAAGAGGCUUAAAAUUGACUUUUUUUGGCGCUUUUAGGUUGACAUAAAUUUUUUUUUUUUUUUCGUCUGCUUUA
Molecule: unclassified non-coding RNA, 213 nt
Filed under: Rhizophagus sp. (in: glomeromycetes)
Lineage: Eukaryota; Fungi; Glomeromycota; Glomeromycetes; Glomerales; Glomeraceae
Description: partial contains 5.8S ribosomal RNA and internal transcribed spacer 2
Rfam family: 5.8S ribosomal RNA (bases 1-65)
Source: RNAcentral